This 411-nucleotide ribosomal RNA is filed under the name Actinomycetes bacterium. Its description in RNAcentral is "Actinobacteria bacterium partial 16S ribosomal RNA". It matches the Rfam family "Bacterial small subunit ribosomal RNA", at positions 355 to 776 of the family's 1533-position model. The record is from RNAcentral. Lineage: Bacteria; Bacillati; Actinomycetota; Actinomycetes.
UGGGGAAUAUGGCACAAUGGGCGCAAGCCUGAUGCAGCGACGCCGCGUGGGGGAUGACGGCCUUCGGGUUGUAAACUCCUUUCGCUAGGGACGAAGCUUUUUGUGACGGUACCUAGAUAAGAAGCACCGGCUAACUACGUGCCAGCAGUCGCGGUAAUACGUAGGGUGCGAGCGUUGUCCGGAAUGACUGGGCGUAAAGGGCUCGUAGGUGGGUUGUCGCGUCGUCUGUGAAAUUCCUGGGCUUAACUCCGGGCGUGCAGGCGAUACGGGCAUAACUUGAGCACUGUAGGGGUAACUGGAAUUCCUGGUGUAGCGGUGAAAUGCGCAGAUAUCAGGAGGAAGACCGAUGGCGAAGGCAGGUUACUGGGCAGUUACUGCCGCUGAUGAGCGAAAGCAUGGAUAGCGAACAGG